This 472-nucleotide ribosomal RNA is filed under the name uncultured bacterium. RNAcentral describes it as "bacterial SSU rRNA". It matches the Rfam family "Bacterial small subunit ribosomal RNA", at positions 355 to 825 of the family's 1533-position model. The record is from RNAcentral.
UGGGGAAUUUUGGACAAUGGGGGCAACCCUGAUCCAGCCAUGCCGCGUGAGUGAAGAAGGCCUUCGGGUUGUAAAGCUCUUUCGGCGGGGACGAAACGGUCCGUGACAACACCACGGACUAAUGACAGUACUCGCAGAAGAAGCACCGGCUAACUACGUGCCAGCAGCCGCGGUAAUACGUAGGGUGCAGGCGUUAAUCGGAAUUACUGGGCGUAAAGCGUGCGCAGGUGGCUCCUUAAGUCAGAUGUGAAAUCCCCGGGCUUAACCUGGGAACUGCACUUGUGACUGCAUAGCUGGAGUACGGCAGAGGGGGAUGGAAUUCCGCGUGUAGCAGUGAAAUGCGUAGAUAUGCGGAGGAACACCGAUGGCGAAGGCAGUCCCCUGGGCCUGUACUGACGCUCAUGCACGAAAGCGUGGGGAGCAAACAGGAUUAGAUACCCCAGUAGUCCCUGAGCGGGCUGGCAAGGCGCAU